Molecule: long non-coding RNA, 2495 nt
Filed under: Glycine max (soybean)
Lineage: Eukaryota; Viridiplantae; Streptophyta; Magnoliopsida; Fabales; Fabaceae
Description: long non-coding RNA (GMAX_LNC003786)
Source: RNAcentral
CCCAACAUCAUGGUCAUGUUUCUGCUAAAACUUUUGUCUCUUCAACUCAUGCAUGUGGAGUCCCACACUCACACCUAGCGAGAAACAACAAUAACAAGUGUGCGGUUAAAAACCUAUUUGUGGAUUAGACAAAAAAAUAUAGUGACGAUUUAUACCGGCCACUAUUUGUAAAUUAAAUGGUAAAAAUUUACAUUCUAAAGGCGACAAGUAUGUUUGACAAAAAUAACCCAAUUAAAGCAUUUUAAAAAAAUUGAACACCAAAUUGAAACAUUUAAAACUUGGGGGACCAAAUUGACAAUUAAGCCUUUUAAUUUUUUUAAAAAUACUACAAAACUUUAGUAUAAAAAAAUAGAUCAUUUAAUUUGAAGGACUUAAUCCAUAAUUAUUUUUUAUACUGGACGAGGCCUAUUAAUGGCUCAUACGAAUUAGACAAUCUAUAAUCAGUAUGGAUCCAUACGGAGAUGUUUUAAUCAAUUGAGUUAAUAGAUCAUUUAUGUUAAAAAAAUAAUUAACGUCGUUAUAUAUAACACUAAGAUUUCUAAUGUAUAUGUAAUACACGUAUAAGUUUACAUAAAAAAAUUUGUAACAAUUAAUUUGAUCUAAUAAUAUUUUUUUAUAUAUAUAAAUUUUUAUCAAACUUAUUAUUUUUAUUUAAAAUUUAUAUAUGUAAAAAAUACAUUAUUAGAUCAAAAUUAAUUGUUAUAAAAUUUAUUAUGUAAACUUACAUUUGUAUUAAAUAUGUAUUAUAAAUUUUAGUAUUAUAUAUAAUGAUGUUAAUUAUUUUUUUAAUAUAAUUGAUUUAUUAGUUCAGUUGAUUAGAGCGUCUGACGGAAGUCAUCAAUUCCUAAUCAAUUCCCAUAAGUAAGAAAAUCCUUUCUCAUUCGCUCGCUCAAAAAGCUUGCAAAGCUUGCAAACAGGGGUGCAUGCAGUGCUUUCGGUGCUCAUUGGGUUACGAUGGUUUUCGUGCUAAUUUCACAUCAUUGCUCACUCUCGAACAAGGCAUUGAAACAUUUUAAUUUUUAAUAUCCUUUGCCCAUUCUAUAUUUUUCUGACCUAAUUUUGUUUGGAGCAAGUUAAUGUCGGCAACACACUCUGUAGCUUACCUUGCUUUCAUCAGGUUUGUUUCAUUACUUAGUGAACUGUAACUUUUUAUCACAUGGAUUUUACAUUGAAGCAAAAACUAUUAGAGUCACAGAGCACUUAUGAGAUGGAAGAGAUGCUUUUUUAUGUUUUAAUCCUUUUUUUUUUCAUCAAAUAGCAUACUAGUUGAAUAAUACACUAUCAUAAAUACAUUAGUUGAAUAUAUUCAUCUUGUCCUGAGAAAUUUGUUCAAUUAUUGUUAUUUGGGGAUUCAAACAAUGUCUGUCUAAUUUCUAAUUAUUUCGUACUUUACCUUAGCAUAGGUUCGAGUAAAAGGCACAAUAUUCAUAGAUUAGAUCAUUUUUUUGUGUGGAAAGGAUCAAUGAUGUCACAUUUAUAGAUUAGAUCCAUUUUUUUUCUUCUAUAUGAAUAAAAGUCAUGUUUGAUCCUGACGAUGGUAGGUAAGUAUGGCAAUAAAAACUGAAACGGUACAUACCAGUUCCAUUUUGUCUUGAUGUUAACGGAAAAAACCUGCUUUCAUUGGAAUUGUGGUCGGGAUGGGAUAACUCUCUUGUCAGUUACAUAUAUUUUUAUAAUUAUUAAUAAUAUAAUUAUGUAUUUAUGUACAAUUCUAUUAUUAUUAUUAUUAUAUAUAUAUAUAUAUAUUAUAUGUAAUUAUUAAUUAUAUACUAUUUUCAUAUUUUAUUAUUUAUAGUUAUUAAAAUAUAGAAUAAUUAUUUUAAUAAUUAAAUAAAAAAUAUUAUAAUUAUAUUACUAAUUAUAAUAAAAUUAAAAAUUAUACAUUUAGCUAAGAAUAUAAUUUAGUUCUUAAAUAUGUUUACAUUAUCUUUUUUAUUAAAUUAUAUAUAAUGAUUGAAUUAAAAUAUAUUUAAUAAAAUAAUCUAUGAUUUAUUUAAAGUAUAUGAAUAAAUAUUUUUUUUUUAAAAUAUGAAAUGAGUUUUAUGUGAAUUUCUCCAAAUUUGAUAAAAUCUAUUGAAAAUGAGCCACAACAAAUUUGCUCCGAUAGUAAAUUCAAAUUCAAUUAAACACAAAAAUCAAGAAAAAUCCAAACCUCAUAAUUUAAACAAAGCAUUUAGUUAGUGAGCUAUUAUUAAAUAUUCUAAUUUUUCAUGUAGUUGGAUAAAUCGUAAAAGAAAUAAAUAUAGGAAAUUGGAAUAAAGUGAGAAUUAGGAACCUAACCUUGACUUCUCUGGCGACAUAAACUCUACCAAAUUUGCCCCUACCGAGUACCGAGAGGUUUACCGAUCUCGAAGUCUUCCAAGGGACCAAUGCCGAUUUGAAUUUUCUUCCUCUGCUGGGUUUUGCGAAGCCACUUUCGGUGGAAAAUGUGAAGUUCCUUGUUGAUUAUCUGAGAAUUGAAUUUGAAUUUGUGAACCGGUCCGGGUUAAGCAGGC